AUUAACGCUUGCGGCCGGCCUAACACAUUCAAGUCGAACGGUAACAGGAAGAAGCUUGCUUCUUUGCUGACGAGUGGCGGACGGGUGAGUAAUGUCUGGGAAACUGCCUGAUGGAGGGGGAUAACUACUGGAAACGGUAGCUAAUACCGCAUAACGUCGCAAGACCAAAGAGGGGGACCUUCGGGCCUCUUUCCAUCGGAUUUGCCCAGAUGGGAUUAGCUAGUAGGUGGGGUAACGGCUCACCUAGGCGACGAUCCCUAGCUGGUCUGAGAGGAUGACCAGCCACACUGGAACUGAGACAAGGUCCAGACUCCUAAGGGAGGCAGGAGUGGGGAAUAUUGCACAAUGGGCGCAAGCCGGAUGCAGCCAUGCCGGGUGUAUGAAGAAGGCCUUCGGGUUGUAAAGUACUUUCAGCGGGGAGGAAGGGAGUAAAGUUAAUACCUUUGCUCAUUGACGUUACCCGAAGAAGAAGCACCGGCUAAAUCCGUG
This 489-nucleotide ribosomal RNA is filed under the name uncultured bacterium. Its description in RNAcentral is "partial 16S ribosomal RNA". It matches the Rfam family "Bacterial small subunit ribosomal RNA", at positions 29 to 507 of the family's 1533-position model. The record is from RNAcentral.